GACGAACGCUGGCGGCGUGCUUAACACAUGCAAGUCGAACGCACAGGCCCUGCUUUUGUGGGGUGCUCGAGUGGCGAACGGGUGAGUAACACGUGAGUAACAUGCCCUUGACUUUGGGAUAACUUCAGGAAACUGGGGCUAAUACCGGAUAGGAGCUCCUGCUGCAUGGUGGGGGCUGGAAAGUUUCGGCGUUUGGGGAUGGCCUCGCGGCAUAUCAGCUUGUAGGGGGGGUAGUGGCUUAGCAAGGCUAGGACGGGUAGCGGGCCUGGUAGGGUGACCGGAUACGCUAGAAUUGGACUAAGACACGGACUCGUACCGGACGCGAGGGAGCAGUGGAUAGUACAAGGGGAUGAAGCCUAGUGUGACAACGCCACGCGGGGGGUGUCAGGCUUCGGGUUGUAUUGCGAAUUCGCCUGUGACGGAAAGAGAGUGACGGUAAUGGGUAAAGAAGCACCGGCUAACUACGUG
This 468-nucleotide ribosomal RNA is filed under the name uncultured bacterium. RNAcentral describes it as "partial 16S ribosomal RNA". It matches the Rfam family "Bacterial small subunit ribosomal RNA", at positions 28 to 507 of the family's 1533-position model. The record is from RNAcentral.